RNAcentral lists this ribosomal RNA (468 nucleotides) under uncultured bacterium. RNAcentral's name for it is "partial 16S ribosomal RNA". It matches the Rfam family "Bacterial small subunit ribosomal RNA", at positions 28 to 507 of the family's 1533-position model. The record is from RNAcentral.
GACGAACGCUGGCGGCGUGCUUAACACAUGCAAGUCGAACGGAAAGGCCCUGCUUUUGUGGGGUGCUCGAGUGGCGAACGGGUGAGUAACACGUGAGUAUCCUGCCCUUGACUUUGGGAUAACUUCAGGAAACUGGGGCUAAUACCGGAUAGGAUCUCCUGCUCCAUGGUGGGGGUUGGAAAGUUUCGGCUGUUGGGGAUGGACUCGCGGCUUAUCAGCUUGUUGGUGGGGUAGUGGCUUACCAAGCCUUUGACGGGUAGCCGGCCUGGGAGGGUGACCGGCCACAUUGGGACUGAGGUAGGGCGCAGACGGCUACGGGAGGCAGCAGGGGGGAAUAUUACAUAAUGAGCGGAAGCCUGAGGCAGAGGCGCCGCGUGCGGAAAGACGGCCUUCGGGUUAUGAACAGCUGUCGCCUGUGACGAAGCGUGAGUGACGGUAAUGGGUAAAGAAGCACCGGCUAACUACGUG